This 253-nucleotide ribosomal RNA is filed under the name uncultured bacterium. RNAcentral's name for it is "partial 16S ribosomal RNA". It matches the Rfam family "Bacterial small subunit ribosomal RNA", at positions 524 to 776 of the family's 1533-position model. The record is from RNAcentral.
UACUGAGGGGGCUAGCGUUGUUCGGAAUUACUGGGCGUAAAGGGCGCGUAGGCGGUCUUCUAAGUCUUGUGUGAAAUCCCUCGGCUUAACUGAGGAACUGCACGGGAUACUGGAUGACUUGAGUUCGGGAGAGGGAAGCGGAAUUCCGGGUGUAGCGGUGAAAUGCGUAGAUAUCCGGAGGAACACCGGUGGCGAAGGCGGCUUCCUGGACCGACACUGACGCUGAGGCGCGAAAGCUAGGGGAGCAAACGGG